RNAcentral lists this ribosomal RNA (164 nucleotides) under Hordeum chilense. RNAcentral's name for it is "5.8S ribosomal RNA". It matches the Rfam family "5.8S ribosomal RNA". Rfam says of the family: 5.8S ribosomal RNA (5.8S rRNA) is a component of the large subunit of the eukaryotic ribosome. It is transcribed by RNA polymerase I as part of the 45S precursor that also contains 18S and 28S rRNA. The record is from RNAcentral. Lineage: Eukaryota; Viridiplantae; Streptophyta; Magnoliopsida; Poales; Poaceae.
CACACGACUCUCAGCAACGGAUAUCUCGGCUCUCGCAUCGAUGAAGAAUGUAGCAAAAUGCGAUACCUGGUGUGAAUUGUAGAAUCCUGCGAACCAUCGAGUUUUUGAAUGCAAGUUGCGCCCGAGGCCUUCUGGCUGAGGGCACGCCUGCCUAGGCGUCAUGC